MicroRNA precursor from Oryza sativa Japonica Group (Japanese rice), 205 nucleotides. It matches the Rfam family "MIR812 microRNA precursor family". NCBI's taxonomy places the organism in Eukaryota, Viridiplantae, Streptophyta, Magnoliopsida, Poales, Poaceae. The record is from Rfam.
AAAAAGACAAACCCUGGCUUCCGUGUCCAACGUUUGACCAUCCGUCUUAUUUAAAAAAAUUAUAAAAAAAAUAUAAAAAAUAAGUCACGUAUAAAGUAUUAAUCAUGUUUUAUCAUCUAACAACAAUAAAAAUACUAAUUAUAAAAAAAAUUCAUAUAAGAUGGACAGUCAAACGUUGGCACGGAAACCUAGGGUUUGUCUUUUU